Molecule: long non-coding RNA, 1709 nt
Organism: Heterocephalus glaber (naked mole-rat)
Lineage: Eukaryota; Metazoa; Chordata; Mammalia; Rodentia; Bathyergidae
Source: Ensembl
GCAUGAAUUGUAAUAGUUCAGUGAUUCAUCUUCCUUGAAAAUGUGCUCUAUUACAUCAGUGAUUUCUAAUGAAAAAUUCAUUCUUCACACAUUGUGGUUAAGAAUCAUCAAAUCAGUACUGAAAAGACUUUGAUCAUAUUUGCAAGAUGCGCUAAGAUGAACUUUCACUGACCAAGAUUUCAAAGUUUGUAAUUAAUACUCUUGAAAAAUUCCCUGACUAAUCUGUCAACUCUCAAUAUCUUUAACCACACAGUUCAAAACCAUGAGACGGUAUAUACAGCCCUUGAACUUUCCACGUAUUGUCAUGCAAUUAUUCAAGGUGAUUUUCUCUUUGAGUUUGCAUUAUGCAACUCAUUCACCAGUGGGGGAAAGUCACUUUGAAUGAAGGUUGUGAGAGUAUGCAUUUGGUUUGUCUAGCAUUGAAUACACAGUUAAGGGCCUUAAGUAGAAAUUACAUGAAGCAGAUUCUAUUCAGUAUAAGAAAAACUUAAAAAAGCAAUCCAGUGUUUGGUGAAGAAGAGGUUUUCUUCAUUCCUGUCAUGAUCGUUGUCUCAAAGGGCCUCCAGUUUUUGUCUCACUGUGUUAAAGGCUCAGCUGCUUGAAGUAAUUCAGUCUCGAGGGUUUUAACUUCACUGGUGGAUUAAUCCACUGAUGAGAUCAGAAUUUGGUAGCAUUGUUGGGACAUGAUGAAAAUAGGUGGGGCCUCGUUGAAGGGAGUUAACCAUGGGGGCAUGACCUCAGGUACUAUGUGUGAUCCAGGACCCCUUCCUCUUUCCACUCUCUCUUCCUUCUUCCUGGCUACCAUGAGGUGAUGCUUUUAUUUGACAUUCUCUUCCAUCCUAACGCCUCAUGCUUGCAAUAGGCUUAAAAUCAAUGGAGCCAGCUGACCAUGCAACAAAACCUCUGAAGCCGUGAGCCAAAAUAAACCUUUCCUCUUUUAUCUCAGAUGUUUUGUCACAGUGUAUAUUAGUCACCUUCCUCAUCUCUGAGACAUACCUGACACUUGCAGCUUAAAGGAGGAGAGGUUUAUUUUGGCCAUAAUUUUUAGAAAUUUCAGUUCUUGCAUGGUCUGCAGCAUGGUGGAAGGGCCUGGCAUGGAGGAAAGCUGCUCUCAUGGAAGCAGCUAGAAAGCAGAGAAAGAAGGGAGGACCUGGGGAGGGAGAUACACCCUUCCAGGUCCCUCUCCAGUGACCCAGCCCUUGUAACCAUCUGCAGUUCCUACCAUCACAUUUAGCUGUCACACCCCAUGAUUCAAUCUACCCUUCAAAAGCCUGGCCUUUGAGCUCAUGAGGCUUGGAACAUCCAGAUAUAAACCAUAAAACAGUGACAAAAAGCUGACCAACUCAAGUGUUCUCAGAUGAUCUCCACCAAUGAUGUGUUAGAGAGGAACAAUAAACUGGCUGGGAAGACUAAAUGUUGACUCCAAGAUUGUAUCAUUCUUACAAUGGUCGUUGGACUCUGACUAUAGGAUCUCAGCCACCUCUGCCUGUGGAGGGUAAUAUAAUUAGCAUCCUUUUACUCCCAGAGUGUACUGGAGUCCUGUCUUGGGUUGGGUACUAUGCUGAGUGUAGGAGGUGUGAGUGUACACUGCGGGGAUAGGUUUCUUACAUCAUGAAGCUGUCAUGCAGUUUUGGGGUUUUUUUUUGUCAUGUGGUUAUAAAGACAUAAAAAUAUGAUCUCUUUAAUAUAAAACAUACUUGAGUAGCCAA